AGUUGGGCGCCCCUUAUCUUGCCAUGUUUAGAUAAGCCUUGACUAGGUAUUUGACCUAGACAAGGACUCUAUCAUAUCUCUCUCUAUAAAAUGAGUUUCUUCAUGAAAGUUUUAAAAACCAUAGAUAUUUGAGAGAUCUUUGGGGCAUCCAAAAAUUAAAGAGAAAGACUUUUGGGUCGUGGAGAUAUAAUAGACACAAAACAGGAUGUCUAGGAGAGAGUAAAAAGAAGAAGAAGAGGGUCUUCUUCUAGGGUUGUUAGUUUCAUCUCUUCCCUUCCUCCAUCUUGAGUUUUCUAAGAGCAUCUCAUAUAUAAAACUUCUCUCCUACUUCUCAUCUUUGGAAGAGCACAAAUCAAGAAGAAAGAGGCAUCUGAUCAACCAUCGAAGAAGGAUCAGCACAGUACUAGCAUACUAUGCUGAUUUCCUGAAGCAGGACUUCUGGUCGAGAUUCGUAGACUCG
Molecule: long non-coding RNA, 460 nt
Filed under: Elaeis guineensis (African oil palm)
Lineage: Eukaryota; Viridiplantae; Streptophyta; Magnoliopsida; Arecales; Arecaceae
Description: long non-coding RNA (EGUI_LNC055090)
Source: RNAcentral